Molecule: ribosomal RNA, 524 nt
Filed under: uncultured bacterium
Lineage: Bacteria
Description: partial 16S ribosomal RNA
Rfam family: Bacterial small subunit ribosomal RNA
Source: RNAcentral
GACGAACGCUGGCGGCGUGCUUAACACAUGCAAGUCGAACGGACAGACAGAGAGCUUGCUCUCUUGAAGUUAGUGGCGAACGGGUGAGUAACGCGUAAUCAACCUGCCCUUCAGAGGGGGAUAACAACGGGAAACCGUUGCUAAUACCGCGUACGAUUCAUGAACGGCAUCGUUUAUGAAUGAAAGGUGGCCUCUAUGUAUAAGCUAUCGCUGAAGGAGGGGAUUGCGUCUGAUUAGCUAGUUGGAGGGGUAACGGCCCACCAAGGCAAUGAUCAGUAGCCGGUCUGAAAGGAUGAACGGCCACAUUGGGACUGAGACACGGCCCAAACUCCUACGGGAGGCAGCAGUGGGGAAUCUUCCGCAAUGGACGAAAGUCUGACGGAGCAACGCCGCGUGAGUGAUGAAGGUCUUCGGAUUGUAAAGCUCUGUUAAUCGGGACGAAAGAGUUCUGCGUGAAUAAUGCAGAAAAGUGACGGUACCAGAAUAGAAAGCCACGGCUAACUACGUGCCAGCCGCCGCAGUAA